Molecule: long non-coding RNA, 262 nt
Organism: Nycticebus coucang (slow loris)
Lineage: Eukaryota; Metazoa; Chordata; Mammalia; Primates; Lorisidae
Exons: 3
Source: RefSeq, a predicted model, not a curated record
UUCCAGGCCAUUGCUUUCAGCUUCUGGAGGAAUCUCUCAGAGGUAGACACUGGCAGAAUUGAGACUUUACAUCCAGCUUCACAUCGGUGUACCCAGGAAGGAGACUGGUGACAGAGAGAUGUAGCUGUUCCUGGUCUCAGUGGGAGGCAGUUGAACCACCCCCCACUGCCUCCUGCCUUCUGAGGCCUGUUAGGAGAAAUCUGCAGAAGGAGCAAGCAUCGAUUGUGACCUAGUCCAUCUGAUCCCACAGAAUCUGCACAGA